RNAcentral lists this ribosomal RNA (497 nucleotides) under uncultured bacterium. Its description in RNAcentral is "partial 16S ribosomal RNA". It matches the Rfam family "Bacterial small subunit ribosomal RNA", at positions 28 to 507 of the family's 1533-position model. The record is from RNAcentral.
GAUGAACGCUGGCGGCGUGCCUAAUACAUGCAAGUCGAGCGAACAGACGAGGAGCUUGCUCCUUUGACGUUAGCGGCGGACGGGUGAGUAACACGUGGGUAACCUACCUAUAAGACUGGGAUAACUUCGGGAAGCCGGAGCUAAUACCGGAUCAUAUUUCGAACCGCAUGGUUCGAUAGUGAAAGAUGGCUUUGCUAUCACUUAUAGAUGGACCUGCGCCGUAUUAGCUAGUUGGUAAGGUAACGGCUUACCAAGGCAACGAUACGUAGCCGACCUGAGAGGGUGAUCGGCCACACUGGAACUGAGACACGGUCCAGACUCCUACGGGAGGCAGCAGUAGGGAAUCUUCCGCAAUGGGCGAAAGCCUGACGGAGCAACGCCGCGUGAGUGAUGAAGGUCUUCGGAUCGUAAAACUCUGUUAUUAGGGAAGAACAAACGUGUAAGUAACUGUGCACGUCUUGACGGUACCUAAUCAGAAAGCCACGGCUAACUACGUG